RNAcentral lists this ribosomal RNA (255 nucleotides) under Enterococcus faecalis. Its description in RNAcentral is "partial 23S ribosomal RNA". It matches the Rfam family "Bacterial large subunit ribosomal RNA", at positions 522 to 779 of the family's 2925-position model. Lineage: Bacteria; Bacillati; Bacillota; Bacilli; Lactobacillales; Enterococcaceae. The record is from RNAcentral.
CACCCCGGAAGGGGAGUGAAAUAGAUCCUGAAACCGUGUGCCUACAACAAGUCAAAGCUCGUUAAUGAGUGAUGGCGUGCCUUUUGUAGAAUGAACCGGCGAGUUACGAUUGCAUGCGAGGUUAAGUUGAAGAGACGGAGCCGCAGCGAAAGCGAGUCUGAAUAGGGCGAAUGAGUAUGUAGUCGUAGACCCGAAACCAUGUGAUCUACCCAUGUCCAGGUUGAAGGUGCGGUAAAACGCACUGGAGGACCGAAC